Long non-coding RNA from Diachasmimorpha longicaudata, 2214 nucleotides. RefSeq lists it as uncharacterized. The record is from RefSeq and is a predicted model, not a curated record. The transcript is spliced from 3 exons. Lineage: Eukaryota; Metazoa; Arthropoda; Insecta; Hymenoptera; Braconidae.
UGAGGGAUGACGUCACUGGAGAGGUACGUAACAACGAGUGCUUACGAGGUGACUCUCUAUCGCAGUCGGCGCCGGGGGAAGGGGGACCUCGGGCUAGUCGGCACCCUUCCCUUUCCAGCGGUCUACGAGGAGGAAGGGCAUCCACUUCGAAGCAGACCUGGGUGUUCUUAUGCUGAUCUACCAGAGAAAACGUCAAGUGGAGUUUGGUGGAAGGGUACAUUUUGAGGAUCGGCAUCUUCAGCCCAUAUGAGACCAACUCCCCCUUCUCCAAUGGACAUUCACCGUUCGUGAGGGACUUGCAGGCGUCCUGCUCAGGUAGAGGGUAGUCGAUGGUGAAGCCCGCGACUUUGACGAGGACUUUUGGGUGGAGAUCAUCUGUGUCAGCAACUGGUACUCCCGGACCUUCUCCACGAAAUGUUCCACACUCUCAGCAUCAGUGAUAUCAAUCUCCUGGAUUGUGAUGCCCAUUUUUAUGAGUUCCUGAGCCCCCAGACUAUUUCUCCCAUGGACCCCCGCAAUCACUCUAGCCGAGAGAUUUUUAUGGCAGUGAAGGGCGAGAUUGUAACCGAGGCCCGAGUCACAGCCAGUUAAUACGAUCGUAUCCCUAUGGUCUAUUUUCCGAAGGGAUCGUUUCGUUAAAUAAUAAUAGGUAGCUCCUGCGAAUAAAAAAAUUGUUAUAAUAUUUUUCUCCAACGAUUUCGUUUUGAAAAUUGAAAUUUUUAUAAGUAACUGAAGCUCAAAAAAUUUUUUAACUCACCGGAAGUCAGUAGUAAAGCAGUUGCCGAUGCAGAUAUACUUCCGGUUUGCCACAGACACAUGACGGAAGAUAAAUAACUAAUAGAUAAACCAUUUCUCCUGAACAAGUUCUUCAUCUCAAGUUAAAUAUUGAGCGGGAAUAAAAAGCAAUCAAAUUCACAGCAAUAAAGUCAAUAAUAAAACGAAUAACUGAUGAAAUUAUUAUAAAUCACACAAAAAACAAGCUCGUAGAAUGCAAAAAAUGAAUACUUUCAUGGAAGAACCAGUGAUUCGAUGUAUAACAACGUAAAUUAGGGGAUUCUCGAACGAUCUUCGUUGUCCGGCAGUCAAGACAUCAAAUGCUCCAUCCGAACUCCCGAUGAGUCCCCACCUCCAUCAUUCCUGUUUCACAUCCCCUCUUAUUUUUUUUUCUCAUAUUUUUCCCUCCUGACCUGGUUAUACAGGUAUUCAGGCACUCUGAAAUUAUUCCCCUGUUCAGUGGUAAACUUAAAGUGGAUUUAUGGGGAGAAUUAGAUUAGAUGUCAAUUCCUUAAGUGAAAAAUGGGUUUUCUUUUUAUCUAUAAUGAUCAGACAUCCAAAAAUCGAGCGAGGAUUUCUCUCAUAAAUUCAUCAGCAUUUGUAUUAUCUUAUUCACUUCAUUUUUUUUCGAGACGGGGACAAUCGAAUUUUAAAAAAUCGCAAGUUUUAAAAGUUUACCAUUGAAUUUUUUUUUAGAAUUCAUCAAAUUUCGAAAAUCCCUGAAUUACAAUCCCUGGCAUCCCUGGAAAAUUCCAGGGAAAAAUCAAUGACUAAAUAAAUUGUCUGUGAAAAACAAAUUUUUGGUCGUUCAAUUUGUUAAUAAUUUUUUUUAGUGACAAAACUGAAUGAAUUUCCUUGGAGCCAAUUCUCGAAACUCCUCCAAGGUCUCCUACCCCUCCCCAAUACAUUCGAAAUAUGUAAAACACUUGAGUUGAUUUUUGUAUUUGAAUUUUAAAUGAAAACACACCAGAGAUUUUUCAGCUGAUUCCACGGGUUCUCCCAGGUAUUAAAAUUCAUGUGAUUAUCUUCUCCUUUUUCCUCACGGUUGAGGCUAAAGAUAGAUUAUGGGCAGUGUCAGCAGUGGCCCACGGGUUUCAGUUUGAAUAUAUUCCUGACGUGCGGUACAGAUUGAACGAGUUCUGGAGGUAUCGAAUUCGAUAUCCGUUUGAAACUCUGGGACUCUUCUUUCACGUUACCAGACGUGUCACACAUAUGGGAACAAGUAUUCUGGGGUAGACGAUGAAGUGUUCGCCAGUUCAAGGACAUUCGAAUUAAAGGGAAUAUUCACUACGAAGUCAUUGUCGAUGUCUUUUCUUUUUAUUUUUUCAGGCCAUCGAUGGAGAUAAAUUGAUGAGGAAAGUUGUCAGAUGGUUGAAAAAAUUAAUUUUUCAAAAAAUAGAUGGAGUUACGUAGAAAGAGUAAGAGAGGAAUGAAAAAAUA